Molecule: ribosomal RNA, 440 nt
Filed under: Burkholderia cenocepacia
Lineage: Bacteria; Pseudomonadati; Pseudomonadota; Betaproteobacteria; Burkholderiales; Burkholderiaceae
Description: bacterial SSU rRNA
Rfam family: Bacterial small subunit ribosomal RNA
Source: RNAcentral
UUGAACUGAAGAGUUUGAUCCUGGCUCAGAUUGAACGCUGGCGGCAUGCCUUACACAUGCAAGUCGAACGGCAGCACGGGUGCUUGCACCUGGUGGCGAGUGGCGAACGGGUGAGUAAUACAUCGGAACAUGUCCUGUAGUGGGGGAUAGCCCGGCGAAAGCCGGAUUAAUACCGCAUACGAUCUACGGAUGAAAGCGGGGGACCUUCGGGCCUCGCGCUAUAGGGUUGGCCGAUGGCUGAUUAGCUAGUUGGUGGGGUAAAGGCCUACCAAGGCGACGAUCAGUAGCUGGUCUGAGAGGACGACCAGCCACACUGGGACUGAGACACGGCCCAGACUCCUACGGGAGGCAGCAGUGGGGAAUUUUGGACAAUGGGCGAAAGCCUGAUCCAGCAAUGCCGCGUGUGUGAAGAAGGCCUUCGGGUUGUAAAGCACUUUUGU